AGAGGCUCGCACCAAGAAGGACAGCAAACACAUCCGAGCAUGGGGGAGUUAAAGAUUUUGUCAAGGUCACUCAAGUUGACAUCUGGUGGCAGGUGUCAAUCAGGACCCAGACGUUCUUAUUCUCAGCUUCAUUUCACCAAAUAGACUCUCCCAGGACCCUCCAUUGCAGGAAUCAGGUCCUGUCUCAUGAGUGUUUGUCCACCAGAGACACAUCUGGAACUGCUCUGUUUAGGGGGAGUUGCUAGACGUUCGCAGAAGUGUUUCCAAAGCGUUUUGCAGAAGAGAGAGAUCAAUCCUGUCUAUGAGAACACCCGUGCCACCCAGCUCCAUUGUUACUGCAUGUGGCCAUUCUCAGCCAGAAUCACCACCGACACAAAUCUUCUCCAAUUCGAUGGGGGAGAGAAACACUGCAUCGUGAUUGUUUCUGUUUUUUGCGGCUUUGAUUGACUGGGCACCGGGGUCCACGCUUCCUGGCUUACUAAUUGCCUGUGUGCCCUGAUUCUGCUGCGAGUUGCCUAUUCCUGUUCUUCACUCAUUUCCUUAUCAUAGGGCAUCUGCUGUUUUGUUGGUGAGCAAGUCUGCUUCAGCAGAACCGGGGAGAACGCAUUCUAGAAUUAAAAUGCUAACUUUCUGGAUGCUGCAACCAUUCGACUGUGGACUUUUGCCCGUCAUUAAGCAGCACUGCUAUUUUUAAAUCUUUGCCUUCCCCGUGGUUACCCCACCAACUCACUUCCUCCUAAUUAUGUGUAUCUGCCUUAUUUUUU
RNAcentral lists this long non-coding RNA (764 nucleotides) under Marmota monax (woodchuck). The record is from RNAcentral. Lineage: Eukaryota; Metazoa; Chordata; Mammalia; Rodentia; Sciuridae.